This 817-nucleotide ribosomal RNA is filed under the name Chaetomella zambiensis. RNAcentral's name for it is "eukaryotic LSU rRNA". It matches the Rfam family "Eukaryotic large subunit ribosomal RNA", at positions 71 to 915 of the family's 3401-position model. Lineage: Eukaryota; Fungi; Ascomycota; Leotiomycetes; Chaetomellales; Chaetomellaceae. The record is from RNAcentral.
GGGAUUGCCUCAGUAACGGCGAGUGAAGCGGCAACAGCUCAAAUUUGAAACCUGCCCCCCGGCCGGAUUGUAAUUUGCAGAGGAUGCUUUGGGAACGGCACUGAUCUAAGUUUCUUGGAACAGAACGUCACAGAGGGUGAGAAUCCCGUCCGUGGUCGGCUGCCUGCCCCGUGUAAAGCUCCUUCAACGAGUCGAGUUGUUUGGGAAUGCAGCUCUAAAUGGGUGGUAAAUUUCAUCUAAAGCUAAAUAUGGGCCAGAGACCGAUAGCGCACAAGUAGAGUGAUCGAAAGAUGAAAAGCACUUUGGAAAGAGAGUUAAACAGCACGUGAAAUUGUUGAAAGGGAAGCGCUUGCAGCCAGACUUGGGCGCGGGUACUCAGGAGCGGUUCGCCGCUCUGUACUUGCCCGCGCGCAGGCCAGCAUCAGUUUUGGGGGUGGGAUAAAGGCCGUUGGAAUGUGGCUCUUCGGAGUGUUAUAGCCUUCGGUGCCAUGCCGCCUCCCGAGACUGAGGACCGCGCUUCGGCUAGGAUGCUGGCGUAAUGGUUGUAAGCGACCCGUCUUGAAACACGGACCAAGGAGUCUAACAUCUAUGCGAGUGUUUGGGUGUCAAACCCACACGCGGAAUGAAAGUGAACGGAGGUGAGAGCCCUCAAGGGUGCAUCAUCGACCGAUCCUGAUGUCUUCGGAUGGAUUUGAGUAUGAGCAUAGCUGUUGGGACCCGAAAGAUGGUGAACUAUGCCUGAAUAGGGUGAAGCCAGAGGAAACUCUGGUGGAGGCUCGCAGCGGUUCUGACGUGCAAAUCGAUCGUCAAAUUUGGG